RNAcentral lists this ribosomal RNA (164 nucleotides) under uncultured bacterium. Its description in RNAcentral is "partial 16S rRNA". It matches the Rfam family "Bacterial small subunit ribosomal RNA", at positions 355 to 511 of the family's 1533-position model. The record is from RNAcentral.
UAGGGAAUCUUCCACAAUGGACGCAAGUCUGAUGGAGCAACGCCGCGUGAGUGAAGAAGGUCUUCGGAUCGUAAAACUCUGUUGUUAGAGAAGAACACGAGUGAGAGUAACUGUUCAUUCGAUGACGGUAUCUAACCGGCAAGUCACGGCUAACUACGUGCCAG